AACAGGACAGUGGGGCAUUCGUACUUAAAAGUCAGAGGUGAAAUUCUUAGAUUUUUUAAAGACGAACUAAUGCGAAGGCAUUUGCCAAGGAUGUUUUCAUUAAUCAAGAACGAAAGCGUUGGGAUCAAAAAGGAUCAGAUACCCUUGUAGUCAACGCCGUAAACGAUACUGACUAGGGAUUGGUGAGGAUAACCCUCAUCAGCACCUAAUGAGAAAUCAAAGUCUUUGAGUUCUGGGGAGAGUAUGGUCGCAAGGCUGAAACUUAAAGGAAUUGACGGAAAGAUACACAAGUCGUGGAUUCUGCGGCUCAAUUUGAUUCAACACGGGGAAAACUUACGCAGGCAAAAAGCUAGAAGGAUUGACAGCUUGAUAGCACUUUCUUGAUUUGGCAGCGAGUGGUGCAUGGCCGUUCUUAGUUGGUGGAGUGAUUUGUCAGGUUAAUUCCCUUAACGAACGAGAUCUUCACUUGCUAACUAGUCGCGACUAAAACCUAGUCGUUGACUUCUUAGAAGGACUACGGUCUCAAAACCGUGGAAGUUGGAGGC
RNAcentral lists this ribosomal RNA (545 nucleotides) under uncultured eukaryote. RNAcentral describes it as "SSU rRNA". It matches the Rfam family "Eukaryotic small subunit ribosomal RNA", at positions 871 to 1451 of the family's 1831-position model. The record is from RNAcentral.